UGGGGAAUAUUGGGCAAUGGGCGAAAGCCUGACCCAGCAACGCCGCGUGAAGGAAGAAGGCUUUCGGGUUGUAAACUUCUUUUAUCGGGGACGAAACAAAUGACGGUACCUGAUGAAUAAGCCACGGCUAACUACGUGCCAGCAGCCGCGGUAAUACGUAGGUGGCAAGCGUUAUCCGGAUUUACUGGGUGUAAAGGGCGUGUAGGCGGGACUGCAAGUCAGAUGUGAAAAUUAUGGGCUCAACCCAUAACCUGCAUUUGAAACUGUGGUUCUUGAGUGAUGGAGAGGCAGGCGGAAUUCCGUGUGUAGCGGUGAAAUGCGUAGAUAUACGGAGGAACACCAGUGGCGAAGGCGGCCUGCUGGACAUUAACUGACGCUGAGGCGCGAAAGCGUGGGGAGCAAACA
This 405-nucleotide ribosomal RNA is filed under the name uncultured prokaryote. RNAcentral describes it as "bacterial SSU rRNA". It matches the Rfam family "Bacterial small subunit ribosomal RNA", at positions 355 to 774 of the family's 1533-position model. The record is from RNAcentral.